This 253-nucleotide ribosomal RNA is filed under the name uncultured bacterium. RNAcentral's name for it is "partial 16S ribosomal RNA". It matches the Rfam family "Bacterial small subunit ribosomal RNA", at positions 524 to 776 of the family's 1533-position model. The record is from RNAcentral.
UACGAGGGGGGCAAGCGUUGUUCGGAAUUAUUGGGCGUAAAGGGCGCGUAGGCGGUGCGGUAAGUCACCUGUGAAAACUCUGGGCUCAACUCAGAGCCUGCAGGCGAAACUGCCGUGCUUGAGUGUGGGAGAGGUGCGUGGAGUUCCCGGUGUAGCGGUGAAAUGCGUAGAUAUCGGGAGGAACACCUGUGGCGAAAGCGGCGCACUGGACCACAACUGACGCUGAGGCGCGAAAGCUAGGGGAGCAAACAGG